This 456-nucleotide ribosomal RNA is filed under the name uncultured bacterium. RNAcentral describes it as "SSU rRNA". It matches the Rfam family "Bacterial small subunit ribosomal RNA", at positions 26 to 518 of the family's 1533-position model. The record is from RNAcentral.
AGGAUGAAUGCUGGCGGCGCGCCUAACACAUGCAAGUCGAGCGGAAAGGCCCUUCGGGGUACUCGAGCGGCGGACGGCUGAGUAACGCGUGGGAACAUGCCCCAAAGUGAGGAAUAACUGCCCGAAAGGGUAGCUAAUGCCGCAUAUGAUCUUAGGAUUAAAGGAUUUAUCCGCUUUGGGAGUGGCCCGCGUACGAUUAGGUAGUUGGUGAGGUAAAGGCUCACCAAGCCCACGAUCGUUAACUGGUCUGAGAGGAUGAUCAGUCAGACUGGAACUGAGACACGGUCCAGACUCCUACGGGAGGCAGCAGUGAGGAAUCUUCCACAAUGGGCGAAAGCCUGAUGGAGCGACGCCGCGUGCAGGAUGAAGGCCUUCGGGUUGUAAACUGCUUUUAUAAGUGAAGAAUAUGACGGUAACUUAUGAAUAAGCACCGGCUAACUACGCGCCAGCAGCCGC